Molecule: ribosomal RNA, 505 nt
Filed under: uncultured bacterium
Lineage: Bacteria
Description: bacterial SSU rRNA
Rfam family: Bacterial small subunit ribosomal RNA
Source: RNAcentral
GAUCCUGGCUCAGGAUGAACGCUAGCUACAGGCUUAACACAUGCAAGUCGAGGGGAAACGAUAGAGAAAGCUUGCUUUUUCUAGGCGUCGACCGGCGCACGGGUGAGUAACGCGUAUCCAACCUGCCCAUCACUUGGGGAUAACCUUGCGAAAGUAAGACUAAUACCCAAUGACGUCUCUAGAAGACAUCUGAAGGAGAUUAAAGAUUUAUCGGUGGUGGAUGGGGAUGCGUCUGAUUAGCUUGUUGGCGGGGUAACGGCCCACCAAGGCGACGAUCAGUAGGGGUUCUGAGAGGAAGGCCCCCCACAUUGGAACUGAGACACGGUCCAAACUCCUACGGGAGGCAGCAGUGAGGAAUAUUGGUCAAUGGACGAGAGUCUGAACCAGCCAAGUAGCGUGCAGGAUGACGGCCCUAUGGGUUGUAAACUGCUUUUAUAAGGGAAUAAAGUGAGUCUCGUGAGACUUUUUGCAUGUACCUUAUGAAUAAGGACCGGCUAAUUCCGUG